GACGAACGCUGGCGGCGUGCCUAAUACAUGCAAGUAGGACGCAGUUGCGAACGGGUGAGUAACGCGUAGGUAACUACCUAUUAGAGGGGGAUAACUAUUGGAAACGAUAGCUAAUACCGCAUACUAGAAGAUGGACAUGCGGUGUAUUAGCUAGUAGGGAGGGUAAUGGCCUACCUAGGCAACGAUACAUAGCCGACCUGAGAGGGUGUGCGGCCAAACUGGGAAUGGGACACGGCCCCGAAUCCUACGGGAGGAAGCAGUAGGGAAUUUGUGGCCAUGGGGGGAACCCUGACCGAGCAACGCCGCGUGAGUGAAGAAGGUUUUCGGAUCGUAAAGCUCUGUUGUUAAGGAAGCGGUACUUAACCAGAAAGGGACGGCUAACUACGUGCCAGCAGCCGCGGUAAUUC
RNAcentral lists this ribosomal RNA (407 nucleotides) under uncultured bacterium. Its description in RNAcentral is "partial 16S ribosomal RNA". It matches the Rfam family "Bacterial small subunit ribosomal RNA", at positions 28 to 526 of the family's 1533-position model. The record is from RNAcentral.